This 138-nucleotide small RNA is filed under the name Salmonella enterica subsp. arizonae serovar 62:z4,z23:-. RNAcentral's name for it is "Salmonella enterica subsp. arizonae serovar 62:z4,z23:-- Salmonella enterica sRNA STnc460". It matches the Rfam family "Salmonella enterica sRNA STnc460". Lineage: Bacteria; Pseudomonadati; Pseudomonadota; Gammaproteobacteria; Enterobacterales; Enterobacteriaceae. The record is from Rfam by way of RNAcentral.
GUGCUGAGUGGGUAUUUAUAUUCAAUACAGAUGAUAGACAAAGUAAAGAACCUUGCAUAUUUAUGACGAUGAGGCCGGAGUCUUCUUGUCAGAUAAAACGUUAGAUGCCAUUAAUGAAUUGAGAACUAUUCUAUUAUU